AAAGUCGUAACAAGGUUUCCGUAGGUGAACCUGCGGAAGGAUCAUUACCAAUUCAACGGUGUGGUCGCGGCCUCCGGGGGCUCCCCCCGGGCGGUAGAGGUAACACUCUUACGCGCCACAUGUCUGAAUCCUUUUUUUACGAGCACCUUUCGUUCUCCUUCGGUGGGGCAACCUGCCGUUGGAACUUAUUAAAACCUUUUUUUGCAUCUAGCAUUACCUGUUCAGAUACAAACAAUCGUUACAACUUUCAACAAUGGAUCUCUUGGCUCUGGCAUCGAUGAAGAACGCAGCGAAAUGCGAUAAGUAGUGUGAAUUGCAGAAUUCAGUGAAUCAUCGAAUCUUUGAACGCACAUUGCGCCCCUUGGUAUUCCAUGGGGCAUGCCUGUUCGAGCGUCAUCUACACCCUCAAGCUCUGCUUGGUGUUGGGCGUCUGUCCCGCCUCUGCGCGUGGACUCGCCCCAAAUUCAUUGGCAGCGGUCUUUGCCUCCUCUCGCGCAGCACAUUGCGCUUCAGAGGGGUGUGGGCCGCGUCCACGAAGCAACAUUAUCGUCUUUGACCUCGGAUCAGGUAGGGAUACCCGCUGAACUUAAGCAUAUCA
This 598-nucleotide ribosomal RNA is filed under the name Pleosporales sp. B1A0358EM2CC1051. RNAcentral's name for it is "eukaryotic LSU rRNA". The stretch from base 243 to 396 matches the Rfam family "5.8S ribosomal RNA". The record is from RNAcentral. Lineage: Eukaryota; Fungi; Ascomycota; Dothideomycetes; Pleosporales.